AGGCUAAGAAGAUAUAUUCUAGAAAAAAUAUUUCUCCUAUUAAACUGAGAGAGGGCCAUGAAGCCAUGGUGAGACACCCUGUCAAACUUGUGUAGAAUUUCUGUGGGUCCCUGGGAUCCUGGUUCAGAAGGUAGAAAUUGUACAAGUACAAUUAACACUGAUGGAGAAAAAAUUAUUCAACACGUGGGGGAAAAAUGAAAUGUGAAUAGCUGAGGUAAGGCUUGAUUUAAAUUAAUAAUUUUGUAAAUGCACCUAAUCUCUACCCAGAUUCAUUUUCAGUAUUAAUUUCUUAACACAUAUUUAGGGUUUAAGUCAGAAUAAAGGUAUGUAUUUCAUAUGUGUAAACUAGAUCCAACUUCAUCUGUAUUAUUCUGUGUGUUUUCAUUUUGGAAAAUCAGACAAAUAAUUCCAUGGAUCCACUUUAUGAAUAGAAAUAUUUACUUCAUUUCCUACUAAAAACUUAUUUAUUGUUAAUAAACUUUUUUUCUUUCUACUCUAAAGCGUUUUUAAAGUGGCAAUCAAAAUGCUAUUAAUGUUUUUCAUCUAUCCACAACUUUUCAGUCUUUUAUAUUCCAUCCUCACAGAUAUAAUGACAUAUGCAGCAAUGCAGAAGUUUUUUCAUUUGGAUUCAUUAAUAUAAUGUGACUGGAAAGAUACGUGAAAAAUCCAAGAUCUGAUGCAGGCCAAAAUAAUGAGUUAGGAUACAGAAAUACUGUAUAAGUAUUUCUAUUAAUAUUCAAAAUUAAGCAGAAUGGUUUAGAUGUUAGUGUGCUAAUGAAUUGCUUAAGCAAGAGUUAAAUAUCUUUAAACGUAUUUUCUUCACUGGUAACAUUGAAAGUAUUGAACAUUGAAAAUAAGCUUGUCUUUUUUAGUAUCUAAAGAUCUGAAUAGCUUGUGUCCAAGAGAAAAAGGAGUCACCUGAGGAGCCCUAUGAAUCAUUGACAUAUUUUUUUGUUGCUUUUUACUGUGUAGCACAUUUUACCUUUUGCUUUAUAAGAAGGUAAAUAGAAAGCUGCAGUUGGAGUUACUCUGACAAACAAAUGCAGUUUUACUGAGGCUAUUUGUGGAAAACUGUUCUGCUGCCCCCAC
Molecule: long non-coding RNA, 1089 nt
Organism: Corapipo altera (White-ruffed manakin)
Lineage: Eukaryota; Metazoa; Chordata; Aves; Passeriformes; Pipridae
Exons: 3
Source: RefSeq, a predicted model, not a curated record